GCUCCCCAGCCUCCCCUAUAUAUCUGUAGAAUAGAAAGCGCCGAGUUUGCGGAAGUCAGCGCGGAGUAAUGUUUGGGAAAUGAUGAUGUUGCUCUCCUGUCAUCAUCGCUGCAGCAGCUCGGCUUCCGUGUACGCGGGAGGGAGGUCUCCGGCUGCUUUACAUACAUAGCGCUCAGCGGGCGGUGUCUCUGUGUGCGGCACAUGACGCUUAUUACCAGCAGCGAACACUAAUGUUAUGCAAUGGCGUCAUCAGGGCUGUAGCUUCCUAUACUGAGGUGCAUACGGGGCGACUCAUGGUGCCCUCCUCAUCCUAACAUGUGGUUAUCACUGCUGCCUCACAGGGCUGGUGUCACAUAACCGCCCAACAACUACAUUCACAACAAAGGGUCAUUUCCAAUUCCAGCGCUGUAUAACCAAUUGCCAUAAUUACUGCACACAUCAUAGUCCACCUAGAAACACAGGAGAGACCCGUUUAUUGCCACAGAUUCAGGUUUCCCCAUGUAACUCAGCCCUCGCAUAGCAGGGAGCCACCCAACUACGGACUUUCCACUAACACGUGCCGCAGGCAACAAGAGCUACAGUAUAUAGGGGUUAUUUCCUUGUUUGUUUAAUUGUACAUACUGUACCAGCCUGCACCUUUCACUAAGUAUGUUACUUCAUCUUUCCAGCCAACUCUGUCUUCUGGCAGAAUGUUUUCAUUGUGUUGCAAAAUACAAAAAUAAACCUGCUCUCUGAAUACAAUGGCUUCCAAUGGAGAGAGUUAUACUGUAGCUCAUAGUUCUAUUAACAGUUAUUCCUGAUGCAAUGAAGCAAGGCUGAAAGUAUCAACGGGAAGAUGGAAACGCUACAUAGUAGUAAUAUGGUGGAUGGUGUGUAUAAAUAAACAGAUUUGUAUUAUCACACAGGAAACCCUAUUAAAAAAAAAAAUGUAACAACAAAA
Pseudophryne corroboree (corroboree frog) is the source of this 940-nucleotide long non-coding RNA. RefSeq lists it as uncharacterized. The transcript is spliced from 2 exons. The record is from RefSeq and is a predicted model, not a curated record. Lineage: Eukaryota; Metazoa; Chordata; Amphibia; Anura; Myobatrachidae.